UUUCUUUUCAUCUGGUCAAUUCAACUAUUUCAAUUCGAAGAAUUUUUAAAAAAUACUCAUCAAAUUUAUUUCUAGACAGGAAUAAAAAUGUCUGAAUAAAGCCCGUGCAAAUAUAAAUAUUUUAGAAAAGAUUGAAAAUUUGUCACAUCUUGUCAUUUUUUUUCAUGUUCGAUAUCUAUAUUGAGAUUUGAUUAAAUUCAGAUAUUCAGAUUGGCGCAUUACAUGCCCCAAUUCCCAGGAUGAUGUUUCUAGAAUCUUUUUCAUUCUCAAAAGUUCAAAUAAAAAACCUUUAUUUAAGAGUAAAUGGAUCUCAAUUACUCACCGCAAAUCAUAUUGAUAUCUCACCAGUAAAAUUAAUGUUGCUUACAUAUGGAUCAAUCAACCGAUUGAUAGUUAACUAGCUAAAUACCUCUAGUUAAGAGUGAAUAGAUUUUAAUUACGCACUGCAAAUCCUGUCGAUGUAUCGCCAAUAAAUUUAAUAUUGCCUUUGCCUGUGGAUCAAUCAAUCGAU
This 511-nucleotide long non-coding RNA is filed under the name Capsicum annuum. RNAcentral describes it as "long non-coding RNA (CANN_LNC000305)". The record is from RNAcentral. Lineage: Eukaryota; Viridiplantae; Streptophyta; Magnoliopsida; Solanales; Solanaceae.